Molecule: ribosomal RNA, 942 nt
Filed under: Triticum aestivum (bread wheat)
Lineage: Eukaryota; Viridiplantae; Streptophyta; Magnoliopsida; Poales; Poaceae
Description: partial small subunit ribosomal RNA
Source: RNAcentral
AUGCAUAUCACGAAGAACGUGUGCGAGAGUCUGCUUGGUACCCUGCUCAACAUGCCAGAGAGGACCAAAGAUGGGCCGAAAGCAAGGGCAGACUUGAAAUCAAUGGGCAUCAGGCAGGAGCUUCACGCUAUAUAUGAUGAUGAUGAUGAUGAUGAUGAUGAUGAUGAUGAUGAUGAUGAUGAUGAUGAUGAUGAGGCAAAGCAGGACACGGAAAGUCGUCGCAAAGGCAAAAAGGCCAAGAAGACCGGAAAUGACUACCCUCCCGCGUGCUUCACUCUAAAUCAGGAGGAGAUCGAACAGUUUUUCACCUGCCUCGUAGGAGUAAAACUUCCUUACGGUUACGCGGGGAAGAUAAGCAGAUACCUAGACCCAGCGAAGCUAAAGUUCAGCGGGAUGAAGUCUCACGACUGUCAUGUGCUGAUGACGCAGAAACUUCCAGUUGCAAUCCGUGGGAUCAUGGACGCGCACGUCCGUGAAACCCUAUUUGGCCUAUGCAACUUUUUCGACGUCAUCUCUCGGAAGUCUGUUGGCGUGAGGCAACUCAGAAGGCUACAAGAGAUCAUGGUGAUACUAUGCGAGCUUGAGAUGUACUUCCCGCCCGCAUUCUUCGAUGUUAUGGUGCAUCUGCUGGUCCAUAUCGUGGACGAUAUCAUCCAACUUGGGCCGACGUUCCUGCACAGCAUGAUGCCAUUCGAAAGGAUGAAUGGUGUCAUCAAAGGAUACGUUCGCAACAUGUCACGUCCAGAGGGAAGCAUAGCCAGGGGCUCUCUGACCGAAGAGUGCAUCUCCUACUGCACGAAUUAUUUAGGGGUAUGUGUAGCAGUUAGCAAAAACACAGGACUAAAGUGCUCUGUUUUGGCAAACCAGUGCAUGCAUGCCGUUUUUCUUCUUUAUUUUUUUUCACUGACGACGAAUGCUGGCAACUCGACAGCAGCUAGCUAG